This is a long non-coding RNA of Balaenoptera acutorostrata (minke whale), 219 nucleotides long. RefSeq lists it as uncharacterized. Lineage: Eukaryota; Metazoa; Chordata; Mammalia; Artiodactyla; Balaenopteridae. The transcript has 3 exons. The record is from RefSeq and is a predicted model, not a curated record.
GUUUUGUGCUCAUAGGCUUCCCUUGCCCGGCGACCUUUCACAGCUUUCCAGAGAAUCACCGUAAAGAGGCGGGAACCACCUCUGUGCCUUGAUAUCCGGUUCCCAAACCAGAUCUAAUCCACCCACUGAAGCACAGGCAGGAGCUGUGGGUGGUGAAGAGAAGCCUCUCCCAAAGUGCCUGUCCAGGCUCCAGAGAGAUCCCUCUCCCUUCCACCAUAU